CCUACGGGUGGCAGCAGUGCGGAAUAUUGGUCAAUGGGCGGGAGCCUGAACCAGCCAAGCCGCGUGAGGGAAGAAGGUACAGCGUAUCGUAAACCUCUUUUGUCCGGGGACAAAGGCUGGGACUAGUCCCCGGAUGCGUGUACCUGAAGAAAAAGCAUCGGCUAACUCCGUGCCCGCAGCCGCGGUAAUCCGGAGGAUGCGAGCGUUAUCCGGAUUUCUUGGGUUUAAAGGGUGCGCAGGCGGCCGGUUAAGUCAGCGGUAAAAGCCCGGGGCUCAACCCCGGCGAGCCGUUGAAACUGGCGGGCUGGAGUUGGCGAGAGGGACGCGGAAUGCGCGGUGUAGCGGUGAAAGGCUUAGAGAUCGCGCAGAACCCCGAUUGCGAAGGCAGCGUACCGGCCCCACACGGACGCUGAGGCACGAAAGCGUGGGUAUCGAACAGGAUUAGAUACCCGAGUAGUC
This 459-nucleotide ribosomal RNA is filed under the name uncultured bacterium. Its description in RNAcentral is "partial 16S ribosomal RNA". It matches the Rfam family "Bacterial small subunit ribosomal RNA", at positions 338 to 795 of the family's 1533-position model. The record is from RNAcentral.